CACCUUCCUGCAUUUCAUUCCUAUUCCUGAGGCUAACAGUCAGGGUGACACACCACCCCUUAGAAAAAUGAGACGUUUCCAACUUGAGUCCCUCCUACUUCAUCCAUGGCAGAUGACCAUGCAUUUUGUCUGAAACCACGUAAGGGACACACCUGUGUAAGGCACUCACUGCGAUCCUGAAGGGCAGAUUGGGUCAUUUCUAUGAACCACGCUGCCUUUCAAGCACCGCAGCAUUAUUUACCAUCUCCAUGCAGAAGCACUCAUCCUGGGAAAAAAAAAAAGGACAGCAAGAGCUGCCAUAUAAAAACAGAUAGAAACACGGACCGCUGUGACUCUGGACAGAGGUGACCGCAAGUUUCUGUGGGGCUCACUCUUUUUCAGUACACUGUGGAUUUAAAUUGCACUUUUUUUGUUUUUAAAGCAAGGCAUGUUUUAAUACAAACAUCCAGAUUAUAGGAAGUUUUGUAACAGUAAAAACAGAUCUGUGUACUCAGAUCUAUUUUACAAGAUUGCAAAGCCGAACACCGAGACCAGUCUUGAGAGCAGCAACUCUAGUUACAAAACCAAAAUGCUUUACACACAGAACACAGCCUGAUGCUUGUCAAGAUCACCGGCACAACACCCAGUUUCAGCACUGUUUUUUCUAGUUGUAAAUGA
Oxyura jamaicensis (ruddy duck) is the source of this 657-nucleotide long non-coding RNA. RefSeq lists it as uncharacterized. The transcript is spliced from 2 exons. Lineage: Eukaryota; Metazoa; Chordata; Aves; Anseriformes; Anatidae. The record is from RefSeq and is a predicted model, not a curated record.